This 550-nucleotide ribosomal RNA is filed under the name uncultured bacterium. RNAcentral's name for it is "bacterial SSU rRNA". It matches the Rfam family "Bacterial small subunit ribosomal RNA", at positions 355 to 896 of the family's 1533-position model. The record is from RNAcentral.
UAGGGAAUCUUCGGCAAUGGGGGGAACCCUGACCGAGCAACGCCGCGUGAGUGAAGAAGGUUUUCGGAUCGUAAAGCUCUGUUGUUAAGGAAGAACGUGUGUGAGAGUGGAAAGUUCACACAGUGACGGUACUUAACCAGAAAGGGACGGCUAACUACGUGCCAGCAGCCGCGGUAAUACGUAGGUCCCGAGCGUUGUCCGGAUUUAUUGGGCGUAAAGCGAGCGCAGGCGGUUAGAUAAGUCUGAAGUGAAAGGCAGUGGCUCAACCAUUGUAGGCUUUGGAAACUGUUUAACUUGAGUGCAGAAGGGGAGAGUGGAAUUCCAUGUGUAGCGGUGAAAUGCGUAGAUAUAUGGAGGAACACCGGUGGCGAAAGCGGCUCUCUGGUCUGUAACUGACGCUGAGGCUCGAAAGCGUGGGGAGCGAACAGGAUUAGAUACCCUGGUAGUCCACGCCGUAAACGAUGAGUGCUAGGUGUUAGGUCCUUUCCGGGACUUGGUGCCGCAGCUAACGCAUUAAGCACUCCGCCUGGGGAGUACGGCCGCAAGGUUG